This 430-nucleotide ribosomal RNA is filed under the name uncultured bacterium. Its description in RNAcentral is "bacterial SSU rRNA". It matches the Rfam family "Bacterial small subunit ribosomal RNA", at positions 340 to 784 of the family's 1533-position model. The record is from RNAcentral.
UACGGAAGGCAGCAGUGGGGAAUAUUGGACAAUGGGCGCAAGCCUGAUCCAGCCAUGCCGCGUGAGUGAUGAAGGCCUUAGGGUUGUAAAGCUCUUUUAUCCGGGACGAUAAUGACGGUACCGGAGGAAUAAGCCCCGGCUAACUUCGUGCCAGCAGCCGCGGUAAUACGAAGGGGCUAGCGUUGCUCGGAAUCACUGGGCGUAAAGGGCGCGUAGGCGGUCUUUUUAAGUCGGGGUGAAAGCCUUGUGGCUCAACCACAGAAUUGCCUUCGAUAACUGGGAGACUUUGAGUUCGGAAGAGGUUGGUGGAACUGCGAGUGUAGAGGUGAAAUUCGUAGAUAUUCGCAAGAACACCGGUGGCGAAGGCGGCCAACUGGUCCGACACUGACGCUGAGGCGCGAAAGCGUGGGGAGCAAACAGGGAUUAGAUA